UUUUGAUCCCUUCCUUUUGUGGAGCCACAAUCAUCAAUGAGUGAUUCAAGCAUAAGGAAAAUGUAUAAUGCACCUUAAAUGGCUGUUUAAAUGUUUUUUUUUUACAUUAACAAAGCACCUAUCCAAUCUUUGAUAUAUUUUACUUGCUCAUUUACCACCAUUGUACUAUGUCAAAUGAUUUCCAAUGUGAUUAAGCUCAAUCAAUCCUAGGGUGGGUAAGUAAUUAUUAAAUUCCUCUAUUAGACUAGGUGCUACAAACUCC
This 262-nucleotide long non-coding RNA is filed under the name Spirodela polyrhiza (greater duckweed). RNAcentral describes it as "long non-coding RNA (SPOL_LNC001951)". The record is from RNAcentral. Lineage: Eukaryota; Viridiplantae; Streptophyta; Magnoliopsida; Alismatales; Araceae.